GGAUAUAGCUCAGUGGUAGAGCACAUGCUUAGCAUGCACAAGGUCCUGGGUUCAAUCCCCAGUUCCUCCA
Molecule: transfer RNA, 70 nt
Filed under: Camelus bactrianus (Bactrian camel)
Lineage: Eukaryota; Metazoa; Chordata; Mammalia; Artiodactyla; Camelidae
Also listed under: 2 other names
Rfam family: tRNA
About the family: Transfer RNA (tRNA) molecules are approximately 80 nucleotides in length.
Source: Rfam by way of RNAcentral